GAAUAAUGCAUGCAAUCAGGUUUCCGGAGAGAUCCGGGACUAAGAGGGAAGACGGUGUAAAUCCGUCGCGGGCCCGCCGCUGUAAUCGGGGACGAAACCGGUGAGAACCACUGCAAUGUUCGUAAACUCUGAGGAACUUGCGGGAAGGUAUCGGGAAUAGGUUGAACCGAGAGCCAGAAGACCUGCCUGACUAGCUUUAAUUUU
RNAcentral lists this non-coding RNA (204 nucleotides) under Desulfotomaculum sp. Lineage: Bacteria; Bacillati; Bacillota; Clostridia; Eubacteriales; Desulfotomaculaceae. The record is from RNAcentral.